This 137-nucleotide non-coding RNA is filed under the name human gut metagenome. RNAcentral describes it as "THF riboswitch". It matches the Rfam family "THF (Tetrahydrofolate) riboswitch aptamer". Rfam says of the family: THF riboswitch presents a pseudoknot that joins P1-P2 and the loop of P3 and two THF binding. The record is from RNAcentral.
GCAGAGUAGGCGCGCGCGUGUUCGCGGCGUGUCUCCGGCGUAUGCCGGAGGCACCCCACCAGUACCAGUGAGACGGGGAGUUGCUCACCGGGCGAAAGGGAUCUUUUCCCGGCAGUGCGUGCGUCGCAUCCCGCUGC